CCUACGGGCGGCUGCAGUGGGGAAUAUUGGACAAUGGGGGGAACCCUGAUCCAGCCAUGCCGCGUGUGUGAAGAAGGCCCUCGGGUUGUAAAGCACUUUCAGUGAUGAAGAACGCCUGGUGGUUAAUACCCAUCAGGAAAGACAUCACUCACAGAAGAAGCACCGGCUAACUCCGUGCCAGCAGCCGCGGUAAUACGGAGGGUGCGAGCGUUAAUCGGAAUUACUGGGCGUAAAGCGCGCGUAGGUGGCUUGAUAAGCCGGUUGUGAAAGCCCCGGGCUCAACCUGGGAACGGCAUCCGGAACUGUCAAGCUAGAGUGCAGGAGAGGAAGGUAGAAUUCCCGGUGUAGCGGUGAAAUGCGUAGAGAUCGGGAGGAAUACCAGUGGCGAAGGCGGCCUUCUGGACUGACACUGACACUGAGGUGCGAAAGCGUGGGUAGCAAACAGGAUUAGAUACCCGGGUAGUC
Molecule: ribosomal RNA, 465 nt
Filed under: Vreelandella stevensii
Lineage: Bacteria; Pseudomonadati; Pseudomonadota; Gammaproteobacteria; Oceanospirillales; Halomonadaceae
Description: partial 16S ribosomal RNA
Rfam family: Bacterial small subunit ribosomal RNA
Source: RNAcentral